Doryrhamphus excisus (bluestripe pipefish) is the source of this 3393-nucleotide non-coding RNA. The record is from RefSeq and is a predicted model, not a curated record. Lineage: Eukaryota; Metazoa; Chordata; Actinopteri; Syngnathiformes; Syngnathidae.
GAACCUGCACCGCUGUUGAGCUCCACUCUUACGGAAGCAAGCAAAACGAGCCAGCCGGAUGAAGAUGGUCCCGGACCGACUGUCCACCACCAUGUGCCCGGCUGCUCGCAGCCUUCCCCGGGCAGCCGGUCUAAUGUGAGUCGGGGAAGAACGGUGGUGGUGUGUGUUUUUUUUUGUUUUUUUUUUUGUCAACAUGUGAAGCGGGCUGAAGGACGAAGGACAGCGGCUCACUGGACGAUCUCAUCCCGCUGAAAGCUCUUCAGAGAGGGGGGGCAGCCGCCCUCCUCACACCCCUCAUCACUUUCUCCAUGGCGUCUCCGCAACAGUCAAGGAUUCAGUCGUACCUGGAAAAGAAUAAAAUCGGACCUUUAUUUGAGGAGUUGAUGACCAGACUGAUAAGCGAGACUCCCGACCAUCCGAUUCCUUUCCUCAUUGAUCACCUGCAGACCAAACAGGACAGUCCAGGAAAGAUGCACAGAGCUCUGUCGGGUUCUGCGGCGCUUUGGGCUCAGAGCUCGCCGGAAAGCAAAAACACUGGAAGGGAGCCACGCCAUUGCGAGAAACCGUGGAAGAUUCACUCUAAAAAACCCAAGAAGUCCAAAAGCGACUUGGCCGUGUCGAGUCUGUCGCCGCCAUCACCAGAAUCCAAGUCCUUGCCUCAGUGUCCGUCCUGGGACUGGAGGGACAGCCGCGACUUUGACGAGCUCAACCACAUUUUGCUGGAGAGCAAGAAACUGGGCCGCGCCCUGGAGAGCCUUUCUCGCAGUAUCGCCGUCUCGGAUGACCUGGACCAGAACCUGGGAGGCUUCAACUCCGUACUGCGCCCCCGAGUCGUAGGGGAGUGGAUCGGCCGCGCAGAUGAGGACUCGGACCCGUUGGCCGCCGAGAUGCUGCACCCGCCCGUCCCUCGCAGCAAAAACGACAUCUGUUGGAGCGGAGACGGCCUUCCCAUUAACAGCCUAAAGAUGAAGGGCAAGAGCAAAGGGCUAAAAGAGCAGCAGCAGCAUCACAAGAAGCUCCUGGCCGCCAUGUUGUCUCAGGACUCCUUUGAUUCGCUGCACAUGCACAGUCCCACGCCUUCUAUCACCGAGGAGGAGAUGGAGUACGAGGACGAGGCCAUGGAGCUUUUGGAGGACCUGGAUGACCUGAGGAUGGAAGGCGUGACCGGCUUGGCACCGUCCGGUUGUAAGUUCAGUCAGGGACGCAGCUCUUAUCACCCCGAACCUCAGGCCAAAGUGACGCUGAAUAUCUGCUCCCGAUGUGCCAGGUUGCAGGGAGACAGUCUGCCAGACAGCAGGUCCGCAUCCGAACAGGCCGUACCUGACAUCUCAUCCCCAUUGCCCGGAGCGGAUACGGCGGCGGCGACGGCGGGACGGUUGCAACAGGAAUGCGAGGCCACGUCUCAAGUGUCGGGCUCUCGUCAGCCUGUCUGGGAGGCUGAUCUCAAGGCUGUGAGGCGUGGGACCUCCAUGAGCCUGCUGCUGGGAGACCCCCUCUUUUCCAAAGAGCUGGAGAACAUGGGCAAGCAGCUGGCUGAGGUUGAGAAGGACUUGGCCAAGCUGGCGGAAGUCGGAAAGAUGACCACUCGCAGCUCCAAUAACCCACACAGCAGUCUGCUCCACAGAACCCUCCCCGACACGCUCCCGCUUUCCAGCCUCUCCUCCAGCAGGCCCCAGUCGCCGGCCAGCGUCCUCUCAGGCAAGCCCUGCGGCGUCGGCCUCCCCCUACUCAGCCCCAAGUCCACCUUAGUCUUCGGUCGGACUGUCAGCAACCCGGGGAGCAGGACUCAAACCCCGAGGACCCCCAGCGGCAGGCCACUCACCCCGAAUAGUUUGCUGACACGCUCCGGCUUCAGCCAAGGGCCUCAUAAAGAGGUGAGCUUCAGGAGGUCGCGGAGCCGACCCGUGACGCCCACGUGCCAGCCCGUGCUCCCCCGACCGCUGCUCACGCCUCCAGGACUCAGCACCACAGACAGCCUGGGAGCCAGCCUGAGGGCGUACUUGUCUGAGGAUGAGUUCUACCAGCAGUUGCAGUCCAUCCGGCAGCCUUGGCAUAUUCCCAGCGACACUGACAGCGACAUCAUGGAGCCUCCCGAGCAGGACAAAAGUACCAGCAUGAGAUCAGUCUUUUCAGGACUUUAAAGACCAAGACCGGCGAUAUUGACCCAAUCCGACCAACUUAUUAUGCAAGCCGCUGGACAUUUUCAAUGUGAGACAUUAUUUUUAUAAAUCCUAUGAAUGAAAACUAAAUUGUAUACUUUUUUUUCCACCAAUAUUCAUAGACAAGGUACUGUUACUAUGUGAUAUGAUGAUUAUUAUUAUUAUUCUUUGCUCUUAAGCAUGCUACAAUUGCAUUUUUUUUCAGUCACAUUUUGACAGCAGGUACAAUUUGUCGCUAACGCCGUCCUUAGUUCACACUCCAAACCAACAGAAGGGGAGCACUCCAAUGUUGGUACUCUCCUGGUACUCUCUGCAGUUGAGCAAAAUAAACAUCCUACUGUUUUCCACCUUACGCGCCUUCUUCUGGAUGUGGUGGGUCACUGCCCUACCGAUCUCGUCGGCUCAGUCUAACCCUGGUUGAUGAAACCGUGGUUUUAAAGUGUAAAACCCACUCCAAAAGACACCAUGACGACACAUCUCAUCCUUGUGAACCCUUCUUGAGUCUUUUUGGCGUGGGUGUCCUCAUCUCAUGACUCCGUCUUCGAGGAUGCGGUCAACAGUGUUGUCAAGUGUCCAGUGAGUGAUACAUAGCACAUAGCGUUUGGAUUCAUAUCCAUAUAUCAACACGUCAUGUGAGCGGGAUGUGGUUUUCAAAGGUUAAAGAUGACAUUCACAUAAUAGAAUCCCAAUGGUGCCUUUUAAUAGCCAUAAUCUCACCAUAAAUGGUUUAUUAUCUCCGAAAAAAAAGAUGAUUUUUAAGCUUCACAUUCCACUUUAGUAGUACAAGCCGAACCCCAUAUUCGCCACAUGCACAAAUCAGCGGCCUGCUAACUGUUCAUACUCUUUUUCUCUCUAGUUCAUAUUUCUGCACCGCCUUGCCGUUUAUGUCAGCAUAAAAAAAAAAUCAAAGCAUACGCAGACUUGGACCAAGGCUGAGCCGUUUGAAAGACGCAGACUUGAGUUACCGCCGCAGAUGUCACUCAAAGACUCUGUUGCUUUAUCUCCAUAUGCUCAUGUUUGUGUAUUACAACCUAUCAAGAUCAACUGCUGGACCUAAUGCUGAUAUCUUAUUCAUCACUGUACUCCAUACCUCACAUUGCUGCCACAUGGUCAGUUUCAGCUCGCUUUUUUUAGUUUAGUUUGCACAAUGUUGAGACUAUCGAUGAUAAAUAAUUUGAAUUAUAUUAAAAUAGAACAAUAAAUUAUACAAUUAAUAAAUGAAAUAUAUGUCAUU